UCCUUUCACAAACCUCCGUCCAGACUCUCCUCAGUGUGUUAACGAGUAAGAUGCAGACAAGAUGCCUCUUUACCCCCAAGUUUUUCAGAGGCUUUUUACUAUGAGGAAAACAGCUCUGAUCUGUAACCAAAUACCUUCUCUGAGAAGAUAGGAACAGAGAGACCCAGCUCUGCCUUAAACUAGCAGUGAACCCCAAACAACAGAGUGACUCAGAGACCAAGGCUUCAAGAACAUGCUGGUCCACCUCAAAACGAAAACACAAUGAGUCUUUUUUUCACUUCACUAUUAUGUUUUCAUCAAUCAAGCUGAAGGAGAGGAAGAAAAGGCUCUGGAAAUCUUGGGAAUAUAAAAAUCCAAUUGUAACUUGUUAACAAAAAAAGGAGUACACAAGCCUGAAACUCCAAGAUGUUAACAAAUACAGAUCUAUGCUUAUAGGCAGUGUCUACAUUUUUUCCCUAUAGCUGCAAUACAAAUUAUGGGGACUCCUUCAUUCACCAGGUAUCUGGGUACCCGACUAAGCUCAAGUGCUGACAUGGGGCAGGGAGACAGAGUAAGCAAAGCAGAGAGACAGGGCCUCGGCCCUUAUGGAAUUUACAGUCCCAUGAGGUGGACAGAUCUAAAAUGAUGCUAGAAACAAAUAUGUAUAAAGAGCUAGCUAAUACUUUCUACCACAAACAGGAUCUUCUAUUUACAUGAUACCCUAAAAUCCUAUUUUAGAAUAAAAUAUAACCUCAUUUUACAGGUGGAAAAAAGAUACAUGAAACAAUUUGCCAAAGGUCAUACAACAAAUCACCUGAGUUCAGCAAGGCCUCGAAGUCCACAUUCUUUCACUGCAUCAGGGGAACCACAUUCUGCUUUAGAGAAAUCAAAAAUACGUCUUCUUUGCUGUCUUUCUGAUGCUCAGGUAUAAUCUCAACAGGUUUAACCAGAGUCACCCCUAAUUAAUGACACACCUAGUGUAACUAGUGCCUGCAGAUCCUCCCUGGCCCCAGGAGUCACAGGAAUGAGAGUCUGGAGAAGGUCUUAGGCAUCUACCCUUUCUACAGCAGACACAGGAACAAGUCAGAAACAGCUCUCUAACUCCGGGGAAUGAAGACACCACCCACGCUUCAUGGCAGAGACCGGACACAUCAACAGGAGGCCAAAAGUAAAAACACUGUGCUCAACAGAUUUCCUAGUCUUACUAACUCUGUGGUAGUUAAAUCCUCAGAAAAAUUUCAAUAGUCUCUGAGUGAGAGCAUUAAUAAUAAUUUGACCUAUACUUCAAGGAGGGAGAUAUGUGAAAGUUACUCACUUAAGCAGGAUAUGCCAGGGGUUAAGAUAUCUCUGGAAAAUCUCCAAAUACUACCUCAUCAACUCAUUAGAGACAGAGGCAUCUCCAAACUUGUAUGGUCUUUCCCUCUCAGACAUCAGAACUGCAUAGUGCCAAAGUAAUCCAGGUAUGAUUCAAAACCCAAUUCAUGUAUUCAAUGUACAUUUAUUGAACACCUGUAGUCAUCAGGAACUGACCUGGGGACUGGAAACAUAAACAUGAGAAAGACUGUCACUCUGCUAGAUGGAAGUGUACCCAUUCAUAAUUGUUUACCUUUCUCAUACCUAACCACUCAAGAGUCCAGGCAGGAAGUUCUUCUAGUGCCCCACAAACACCAAAUAAGUCUGCUUUCUCACUUCUGUGCCUCUGAUCAUGGGAUGUCCACUGGAAUAUUCCCACCAUACUUCAUCUACCCAAAUCCUCACAUUCUUCAA
Microcebus murinus (gray mouse lemur) is the source of this 1746-nucleotide non-coding RNA. The record is from RefSeq and is a predicted model, not a curated record. Lineage: Eukaryota; Metazoa; Chordata; Mammalia; Primates; Cheirogaleidae.